GAUUCUGGCUCAGGAUGAACGCUAGCUACAGGCUUAACGCAUGCAAGUCGAGGGGUAGCAGGGUAGCAAUACCGCUGACGACCGGCGCGCGGGUGAGUAACACGUAUCCAACCUUCCCAUAACUCAGGGAUAGCCUUUCGAAAGAAAGAUUAAUACCUGAUAGUACUUUUUCAAGGCAUCUUGAGAAAGUUAAAGAUUUAUUGGUUAUGGAUGGGGAUGCGUUCCAUUAGAUAGUUGGUGAGGUAACGGCUCACCAAGUCUUCGAUGGAUAGGGGUUCUGAGAGGAAGGUCCCCCACAUUGGUACUGAGACACGGACCAAACUCCUACGGGAGGCAGCAGUGAGGAAUAUUGGUCAAUGGGCGAGAGCCUGAACCAGCCAAGUAGCGUGAAGGAUGAAGGUCCUAUGGAUUGUAAACUUCUUUUAUAGUAGAAUAAAGUGAUCCACGUGUGGAUUUUUGUAUGUAUACUAUGAAUAAGGAUCGGCUAACUCCGUGCCAGCAGCCGC
RNAcentral lists this ribosomal RNA (506 nucleotides) under uncultured bacterium. Its description in RNAcentral is "bacterial SSU rRNA". It matches the Rfam family "Bacterial small subunit ribosomal RNA", at positions 15 to 518 of the family's 1533-position model. The record is from RNAcentral.